UGUCGUCCUUUCGAUUUCUUUUUGAAAAUACAAUACUGGAUCCAAGCUGGUUUCGGAAAAGAUCCCCAUCUGAAUCGCACCACACUGAACCAAGCCAUUUUUAGAUGGAAGAGGAAGAUAUUUUCUCUUGGAUUUCCCAUUCUAUCGCAUUAGACUAACCAGAUUGACAUGUUUUGACCGAAAUGACCAUGGCUCAACAGGAAAUAUCUGGAACCUACAAGUGGAUUUUGGAAUUUGGACCCUUUUCAAAUUAAAUUAUGGUCAGAGAUCCAACAGAUAUAAUUGAUAGUUUCAAAAGCUAGGAAUAUUAAACCAAGUUCAAAAUGCAUCGUCUUUAAUACUCGCAAAUUAUCAAGACUUAAAUUCAGUCUGCACAGUGGAUUGAAAGUGAAAGGUUUAUGAUCUCUCCAUAUACCAGACAAGUGGUUUCAAAGAAACGAGGGCAAAAUCAUGUGUAUUUAACAUGUGUAAUCCGUGAUAGAAGAAAAUAACCAUGAAGAUUUCUUCUUAUUAAACUAUGGAAUCAAUGUUAAUUUGGAGGAUUUUUUUUUGUGCAAUGACAGCAAGAACUUGUGAGAUAACAUCCGUUUGCUCCAGUUUACUUGUACUUAAAUACUUGGGUGAAAUAGAACGUCAUAUAAAGCAAACAAAGAUCAACUAAUCUGCAUUUGAUUCUACAGCAGCGCACUGUGCAAAGAAUACAUCUGAUGUCAUCUAUUUGAAUAACGAAACUCCAUCUGUGGAAUGAAUGGCCUUUUCAGUUCCAGCUACAAACUCUAUAUACAAAGGAUCUCUGGAUGCACAGGAAAGAACGGUACUGAAGUGAUUUCGAUAUUAACAGGAGUUGGCCGAAAUGAUAGCGGUAAAACGGAUGGCAUUCAGAAUCUUCAUCAAGCGAAUAUUAGAACUCGGUGCCUUUAAAAGGAAAUAUUGGAUGGCGAUCCAACAGAUGCAGCUUGUGUCUUUGGUCUGAUAUUAGAGCAAACCCAAAAUGAGUAUUUUGUGCCAAUAUAUUAUCAAUGAUAUGCAUGGUGGAAAUGUAAAUGUAUAUGUAUAUGUAGUUAACAUUACUUGAGGAUAUCAAUACAUCUCUGAAAUGCUUUGUUCUUCUAUUUUAAGGUGUUGAAUAUUUAUAUAUUUUUGGAGAAUUCUUUCAAUCAAUGCGUAAUUGUUCUUGAACUUGGAAUUCUUGGAACUUGGAAAAGGUUGAAGUGCAUGGAAUGUAAAUCGUUCAAAGCCUGUGUUUGGCAUAUGAAUCAAUAUUUCUUAACUGUUAUGGAAAUUGUUAUGCAUAU
Argiope bruennichi is the source of this 1295-nucleotide long non-coding RNA. RefSeq lists it as uncharacterized. The record is from RefSeq and is a predicted model, not a curated record. NCBI's taxonomy places the organism in Eukaryota, Metazoa, Arthropoda, Arachnida, Araneae, Araneidae. The transcript has 3 exons.